RNAcentral lists this small RNA (308 nucleotides) under Histoplasma capsulatum var. duboisii H88. Its description in RNAcentral is "Histoplasma capsulatum H88 hypothetical RNA". The record is from RNAcentral. Lineage: Eukaryota; Fungi; Ascomycota; Eurotiomycetes; Onygenales; Ajellomycetaceae.
AAGGCGCGUGGGUUCGAAACCCGCAGGGGACAACAUUACAUCCGGAGCCAACUUCUCAGCUUCUAAAAUAAUGGGAUGUGAACCUGUCAAGUAGGUACCUUCGGGUGGAUCUACUACUUGAUUUAGCUGAUUUUUCCUGGGCUGGGAACCUGUAUUGCAUGUACCAAAUCCUGUCUUUCAUUAAUUUUCCUAUGUUCCUGUUAUAUUCUUGGUGUCGUUCAACACUAAGCAUUCCUCCUGUAUAACCAACUCUUGCCUGUAUUUAACAUCACACAAGGACUCGUCAUAAGCACUGCUUGCAUACAAGU